This 253-nucleotide ribosomal RNA is filed under the name uncultured bacterium. RNAcentral's name for it is "partial 16S ribosomal RNA". It matches the Rfam family "Bacterial small subunit ribosomal RNA", at positions 524 to 776 of the family's 1533-position model. The record is from RNAcentral.
UACGUAGGGCGCAAGCGUUGUCCGGAAUUAUUGGGCGUAAAGAGCUCGCAGGUGGCUUGUCGCGUCUGCCGUGAAAGCCCGUGGCUUAACUACGGGUCUGCGGUGGAUACGGGCAGGCUAGAGGCUGGUAGGGGCAAGCGGAAUUCCUGGUGUAGCGGUGAAAUGCGCAGAUAUCAGGAGGAACACCGGUGGCGAAGGCGGCUUGCUGGGCCAGUUCUGACGCUGAGGAGCGAAAGCGUGGGGAGCGAACAGG